GCACGGUCCAUUAUUACUUUUGGUACGCGCUAUGCCGCUCUCAACUCGUACCGUGAGUAAUAAUGCACUGUGG
Scleropages formosus (Asian bonytongue) is the source of this 73-nucleotide microRNA precursor. It matches the Rfam family "mir-126 microRNA precursor family". The record is from Rfam. Lineage: Eukaryota; Metazoa; Chordata; Actinopteri; Osteoglossiformes; Osteoglossidae.